Molecule: long non-coding RNA, 209 nt
Filed under: Setaria viridis
Lineage: Eukaryota; Viridiplantae; Streptophyta; Magnoliopsida; Poales; Poaceae
Description: long non-coding RNA (SVIR_LNC004367)
Source: RNAcentral
UAGUUUCCACAAGUUAUAUAUAGGAGCCCCGGCCCUAGUUGCCUUAGACGCAUGUUCGCUGCUGCUUAACAACAUUUUGAUCUUAUUGUUGUGUUCCUUCAAUUUUUAAUUUUCAAUAAUCAUGAGGCAGGGUUGUGCAAGAAUUGGAAACGAACUGCUAUAAGAAAACCUGACACGGAAAAGCAGGCAAGAUGGCAAUACAAAUAUCC